CCGUGGGACACCCUUCCCCAACGAAGGGCCAGCUAUCUGGAAGGAUAGAUUAU
Regulatory RNA element from Ahrensia sp. R2A130, 53 nucleotides. It matches the Rfam family "serC leader". Rfam says of the family: This family is a putative regulatory RNA structure that is found upstream of the serC-serA operon in some alpha-proteobacteria. Lineage: Bacteria; Pseudomonadati; Pseudomonadota; Alphaproteobacteria; Hyphomicrobiales; Ahrensiaceae. The record is from Rfam.